UACGAAGGGGGCUAGCGUUGCUCGGAAUGACUGGGCGUAAAGGGCGCGUAGGCGGUUCGUACAGUCAGACGUGAAAUCCCCCGGCUUAACCUGGGAACUGCGUCUGAUACUGGGAGGCUUGAGUAUGGGAGAGGGAUGUAGAAUUCCAGGUGUAGCGGUGAAAUGCGUAGAUAUCUGGAGGAAUAUCGGUGGCGAAGGCGGCAUCCUGGACCAUUACUGACGCUGAGGCGCGAAAGCUAGGGGAGCAAACGGG
Molecule: ribosomal RNA, 253 nt
Filed under: uncultured bacterium
Lineage: Bacteria
Description: partial 16S ribosomal RNA
Rfam family: Bacterial small subunit ribosomal RNA
Source: RNAcentral